UUCCCUACGGGGCGCAGCAGUGGGGAAUAUUGCACAAUGGGGGAAACCCUGAUGCAGCGACGCCGCGUGAGCGAAGAAGUAUUUCGGUAUGUAAAGCUCUAUCAGCAGGGAAGAAGAUGACGGUACCUGACUAAGAAGCUCCGGCUAAAUACGUGCCAGCAGCCGCGGUAAUACGUAUGGAGCAAGCGUUAUCCGGAUUUACUGGGUGUAAAGGGAGCGCAGGCGGCGCGGCAAGUCUGGUGUGAAAGGCGGGGGCUCAACCCCCGGACUGCAUUGGAAACUGUCGCGCUGGAGUGUCGGAGGGG
Molecule: ribosomal RNA, 305 nt
Filed under: uncultured bacterium
Lineage: Bacteria
Description: bacterial SSU rRNA
Rfam family: Bacterial small subunit ribosomal RNA
Source: RNAcentral